UACAGAGGAGCCAAGCGUUGUCCGGAAUUACUGGGCGUAAAGCGCACGUAGGCGGCUUCUUAAGUCGGUGGUGAAAUCCUGGAGCUCAACUCCAGAACUGCCUUCGAUACUGGGAAGCUCGAGUCCGGGAGAGGUGAGUGGAACUGCGAGUGUAGAGGUGAAAUUCGUAGAUAUUCGGAAGAACACCAGUGGCGAAGGCGGCAUCCUGGACCGGUAUUGACGCUGAGGCGCGAAAGCCAGGGGAGCAAACGGG
RNAcentral lists this ribosomal RNA (253 nucleotides) under uncultured bacterium. RNAcentral's name for it is "partial 16S ribosomal RNA". It matches the Rfam family "Bacterial small subunit ribosomal RNA", at positions 524 to 776 of the family's 1533-position model. The record is from RNAcentral.